RNAcentral lists this ribosomal RNA (220 nucleotides) under uncultured bacterium. RNAcentral describes it as "partial 16S ribosomal RNA". It matches the Rfam family "Bacterial small subunit ribosomal RNA", at positions 1283 to 1500 of the family's 1533-position model. The record is from RNAcentral.
CAGUCACAGUUCGGAUUGAAGGCUGAAAUUCGCCUUCAUGAAGCCGGAAUUGCUAGUAAUGGCAGGUCAGCAUACUGCCGUGAAUACGUUCCCGGGCCUUGUACACACCGCCCGUCACACCACGGAAGUUGGGGGCGCCCGAAGCCACUUAGCUAACCCUUUUGGGAAGCGAGUGUCGAAGGUGAAAUCAAUAACUGGGGUGAAGUCGUAACAAGGUAAC